CAUGUAGGCGGUCUGCUAAGUUCGGAGUGACAGUCACCAGCUUAACUGGUGAAGGACUUUGAAAACUGGCGGACUUGAGAGCGAAAGAGGGACAUGGAAUUCCGGGUGGAGCAGUGAAAUGCGUAGAGAUCCGGAGGAACACCAAAGGCGAAGGCAGUGUCCUGGCUCGUUUCUGACGCUGAGGUGCGAAAGCCAGGGGAGCGAACGGGAUUAGAUACCCCGGUAGUCCUGGCCGUAAACGAUGACCACCAGGUGUGGGAGGGAUCGACCCCUUCCGUGCCGUAGUCAACACAUUAAGUGGUCCGCCUGGGGAGUACGGUCGCAAGACUAAA
Molecule: ribosomal RNA, 332 nt
Filed under: uncultured bacterium
Lineage: Bacteria
Description: bacterial SSU rRNA
Rfam family: Bacterial small subunit ribosomal RNA
Source: RNAcentral